UACACGGCAAACAAAUCAACUAUUCAACGCCCGCAGGGCAUAAACAUUAACCAUUAAUUUACGUCAGACUUUCAGCCCUCCCAUGACCUGGCAACCAUUUUCCCCAACGCUUCGCAUUGGGCUGAAUUAUUACGCCCUUUCAGGGCCGUUUUCCAAAUGUUAAUUGUCAAUGGUUAAAGG
This 180-nucleotide small RNA is filed under the name Tannerella forsythia 3313. RNAcentral's name for it is "Acido-Lenti-1 RNA". The record is from RNAcentral. Lineage: Bacteria; Pseudomonadati; Bacteroidota; Bacteroidia; Bacteroidales; Tannerellaceae.